This 374-nucleotide long non-coding RNA is filed under the name Cucumis sativus (cucumber). RNAcentral's name for it is "long non-coding RNA (CSAT_LNC000507)". The record is from RNAcentral. Lineage: Eukaryota; Viridiplantae; Streptophyta; Magnoliopsida; Cucurbitales; Cucurbitaceae.
CCUACGGUUCAGAUACAAACGGAAUCAGAGCUCACUACCACGACAGGUAACAAGGCCUUGAAUCGGACACGUACACGAGGAUCCCGAUCCAAUAGAUUGCGGUGGCUAUUUCCCCGGUCUCACUCGACCGGACACUCCUUGGUUCAGCCUGGGGAAGACACUGAGCGGUUUACUCUCCGGUUGCCAGUGGAGAUAAGAAAGCAAGUUGUGAACCGGAAGCUGAACCGGGCGAUGAGUAUGGUGGUUUUGGCCAGGCAGAGCAGUUCGAUGAGAGGAUACAGGUUUGGUUCAGGUGAAGGGAGUAGUCGAGGGAAGUAUUACCGGAGGCUCGAGCGGUUGGACCGAACAUCGAAGUCGGACCGGUGGGUGUUGUC